GCAGGUAUGGCGGAAUGGCAGACGCGCUAUCUUGAGGGGGUAGUGAAUGAAUUUUCGUGCGGGUUCAAGUCCCGCUACCUGCA
RNAcentral lists this transfer RNA (83 nucleotides) under Clostridium bornimense. It matches the Rfam family "tRNA". Rfam says of the family: Transfer RNA (tRNA) molecules are approximately 80 nucleotides in length. Lineage: Bacteria; Bacillati; Bacillota; Clostridia; Eubacteriales; Clostridiaceae. The record is from Rfam by way of RNAcentral.